CUAAGUCUUGACUGUAUUCCUAGCUGCUGUGCUGGCAUUCUCCCCAUCCUUUUCCAUAGAAAAAAAGCAUAUCAGACUGCAAGGAGCUGUACUGGAUAUUGUCUGCUCUUUGUCAUGGAAGGAUGACCUACCUGUAUGGUCAGCUUCAGCAAGUUAUCCAGAUUCUGGAUUGGUUUGGCCAAUAGGGAGACCAGAAGACAGAAGGAGGUAUGCUGUACUCCCAACAUGAGGCUUGAACUCCAGAUCAACAACCCCCAGAUCAAGAGUUGAUUGCAUGCUGUACUGACUGAGUGAGCCAGGAAAGAUUGGUUGCUGAAAUCACUCCUCUGUCUUUGGAUGCCACUGAGCACAGGACCAUCCAUCCAUCCAGGCAAGGAGGCUUUCAUAUUUCUCCAGGCUUCCUCUGAAAAUGCUCAGAAAUCCUUCAUGGACUCAUAUGCUCAUGAAAUAUAAACCAAAAGGAACCGGAAAAGAGAUACAAAAUACAUUUUCUUUUAUUCACCCUUUGAGUCAUUUUAUUAUUUUUUAAGCCUUGAAAAGAUAGCUGUGUUCUUAUUUUCAUGUGGGCAUGAAAGCAAAUAUUUCAUUAUAGCCUCCAAGGGGCCAGGACCAAGUUAAUUGCCUUGAACUUCACAGAACUAGCCUGUUCUCUAUGGACUGCAAGAAAGAUGGCACCAUAUUUUUCUCUCUUUCCUGAUGGCUAAAGACACAGAAAACAAACCCCAGCUUCUGUCCCCACAUGUGAAAUUAACAAGAGAGUGACUUGAAGCAAUGGCAUGUUAGAAUAUUUUGCAAAAUCACGGAGAAAUAAAGACCCUUUUU
This is a long non-coding RNA of Canis lupus familiaris (dog), 822 nucleotides long. RefSeq lists it as uncharacterized. The transcript has 5 exons. Lineage: Eukaryota; Metazoa; Chordata; Mammalia; Carnivora; Canidae. The record is from RefSeq and is a predicted model, not a curated record.